This 709-nucleotide ribosomal RNA is filed under the name uncultured bacterium. RNAcentral's name for it is "bacterial SSU rRNA". It matches the Rfam family "Bacterial small subunit ribosomal RNA", at positions 9 to 748 of the family's 1533-position model. The record is from RNAcentral.
GAGUUUGAUCCUGGCUCAGGAUGAACGCUGGCGGCGUGCUUAACACAUGCAAGUCGAAUGUAGUUUACUACAUGGCGGACGGGUGAGUAACGCGUGAGCAAUCUGCCCAUAUCAGGGGGAUAACAGUUGGAAACGACUGAUAAUACCGCAUAAUAUUGUUGGAAGGCAUCUUCCGACAAUCAAAGAUUUAUCGGAUAUGGAUGAGCUCGCGUCUGAUUAGCUUGUUGGUGAGGUAACGGCUCACCAAGGCGACGAUCAGUAGCCGACCUGAGAGGGUGAUCGGCCACAUUGGGACUGAGACACGGCCCAAACUCCUACGGGAGGCAGCAGUGGGGAAUAUUGGUCAAUGGAGGAAACUCUGGACCAGCAACGCCGCGUGAAUGAUGAAGGUCUUCGGAUUGUAAAGUUCUUUUCUAAGGGAAGAAGAUAGUGACGGUACCUUAGGAAUAAGCCUCGGCUAACUACGUGCCAGCAGCCGCGGUAAUACGUAGGAGGCAAGCGUUAUCCGGAAUGACUGGGCGUAAAGGGUGCGUAGGUGGUUUGGCAAGUUAGUAGCGUAACCCCGGGGCUCAACCUCGGAACUACUACUAAAACUGUCGGACUUGAGUGCAGGAGGGGCAAUUGGAAUUCCUAGUGUAGCGGUGGAAUGCGUAGAUAUUAGGAGGAACACCAGUGGCGAAGGCGAAUUGCUGGACUGUAACUGACACUG